This is a long non-coding RNA of Mastomys coucha (southern multimammate mouse), 251 nucleotides long. RefSeq lists it as uncharacterized. The record is from RefSeq and is a predicted model, not a curated record. NCBI's taxonomy places the organism in Eukaryota, Metazoa, Chordata, Mammalia, Rodentia, Muridae. The transcript is spliced from 2 exons.
GGAGCAGACGUUACGUAAAGGUUUUAGAGAGCUCUGCGCUAUUUUAUGUGGUUUCAUCUUUAUGUUUUUAUACUUUCGGUCUGAAAGUGUGUUGUCGGAAGAAAUAAGACACUGCAUUGGAGAUGUGGUCGGAGCAUGAAAGAUGACAAAGGAAGUAAAUCCGUGGACUCCUGGUGGAAGAAACGGCCUGGACUCUGCUUUAACAUAGUGAUGUAUAAGUGGGCAUUUGCGGUGCUCAAAUAGAAUGUGAA